CUAUACAUGAACCCAGCCCAGCUGGGCUACUACGGAUCAUACCAUUCCCUGGCCACGGAGGGGGGAGCGAUGGGAGGAGCCAUGGUGACAUCACACUCCAUGAUGGCCCUGAGUGGUCAGCAGCAGAACGGCAUGAUGGGAGGCCAACAGCAAAGCGUUAUGGGUUCUCAGCAGAAUGGAAUGGUGGCAUCACAACAGAAUGGCUUCAUGGCUCAACAGGAUGUCAUGGGGCAAGCAGUCAACACGUCCCCGUUCAUGGCAGGAGUGCCACACAGCAUGAUGAAUCAUCAGCAAAGCAUUAUGGGAGCUCAGCAGAGUGUUAUGAUGGGAGCUCAGCAGAGCGGCAUGAUGGGAGCUCAACAGAGCGGCAUGAUGGGAGCUCAGCAGUGCGGCAUGAUGGGAGUUCAGCAGAGCGGCAUGAUGGGAGCUCAGCAGAGAGGCAUGAUGGGCGCUCAGCAGAGAGGGGCAUGAUGGGAGCUCAGCAGAACGGCAUGAUGGGAGCUCAGCAGAACGGCAUGAUGGGAGUUCAGCAGAGCGGCAUGAUGGGAGCUCAGCAGAGCGGCAUGAUGGGAGCUCAGCAGAGCGGCAUGAUGGGAGCUCAGCAGAGCGGCAUGAUGGGAGCUCAGCAGAGCGGCAUGAUGGGAGUGCAACAUAACGGCAUCAUGGGAGCACAGCAACAAAGCAUCAUUGGACGUCAACAGAAAGGCAUGACGGGCCGAGUGGUGUCCGUGCCUCAGCAGGUACAGCAGGAUCAGUGCGCCAUCACUCAGAUGACCCAGCACAUGGCGGGGGUGAACUUCUACGGCACCAACGCCAUGACGGGAUACGGCAGUCAGCACACUGGCGGACCAAAGACUCAAAGCUCCAACCACAUGACAAAGUCUCACGUCUGGAAGUGAUGUCAUCACCCGAAGAGGAAGUUGAUGUCACUGAGCAGCAGUGGUGCUUGGAAGGUUCUGGGACUUUUCGAAUGAACUUUCCAUCAGACAUUUUAGGGUAACA
Oncorhynchus masou masou (cherry salmon) is the source of this 1002-nucleotide RNA transcript. It is a transcript of the gene named stromal membrane-associated protein 2-like, with no coding region annotated. The record is from RefSeq and is a predicted model, not a curated record. NCBI's taxonomy places the organism in Eukaryota, Metazoa, Chordata, Actinopteri, Salmoniformes, Salmonidae. The transcript is spliced from 2 exons.